CAAGAUGGAGGCUAAACAGGAAGUAGCAGUUAGCUAGCUGUAGCAGUAGCAUUCACACAACCCCAACUCCAUGUUGUACAGAGACCGAGCUAAAAUGGAGGACUGGAGGAACAUUUACUACUGGAGCUCCUGGAGCUGUGUUCACGAGCUCCUCUUACGGUUCCCAGUUUGACUCAUUCUUCAUUCUGCGACUGGCUGACCCAGUUUUUGCAACACCGUACCUACGGCCUAGACUCUCCAUAGACAUACCUUACGUUGUAGCCUAGGAUGUAGCCAGACGUGCCAACCUGGUCUCACUCCAAAGUUGUAAAAAAGCGCUGCUUGGGCAGUUACUUCCAGUGUCAGACACUGACAAAAAAGCUGUCCUUUCGUGUCAGCACGAUAUGCAGCCAUUGGUCGUUAUUGUUUAAUGGCACCUGGCGGCAUCAGGGGGAAACACGGCGAGACAACAAUUAAAGUUAAGAUGGUGAAAGUCCAAGUAGGGUGGGUGGAAGGGGUGGUGGAUGGGUCCAACAACCACUGACUGUCACCUGUGAGGCCAGUGUUUGCUUCCUGUAAACCAAGCCCUGUUCUUUUUCCCUAAACCCAACCAUGUGUGUGUUGUUGAAGGAAAUAAAUAUCAAUUCAUGGUGUGGUAACGAUGUAGUGCGUUUAUUUUUAAAGAGACUGUAUGCAAACUGUACUUUUCCUGUGUAAGGGUAGGGUAUUUUAAAAGUAGACUAAAGCAACGACGUCCUCCUGUCUGUUUCUGUAAGCUGAAACCAUUUCCCUCAGUGGAAAUGAAGCUUUAUUUACUUUAUUAGACAGAUAAGAAACAAUAAAUCGUGACAGCAAUAAAGCCUCCACACAAUGGCAUUUUAAAUCUUGCGUCUGAUUUAUUGUGGCUUCAUAUGAGUACAGGAAAAUCCGCUAGCCACUAGGUUAAACAGUAUGAAAGUCUUACAGGCUUGUGCUAAUAACGUUAGCAUGUUACAUUUGUUUGGAAAACGUGUUUAGUAUCAGACAGUUGUUUUGCCGGUGAACCUUGUGAGUUGUAAUGGAGCUGAAUUUUGUAACAUUACCUUUGUUAAAUGUUUCUGUUGUCCAUGGCUUUAUAUGAGAAGAGGAAAUCUACGCUAGCUGCUAGGCUAGUUUAUACAAUGUAAAAUGCCAUAGGCUUGGUGCUAAUAAUGUUAGCAUGUUAUAUUUGUUUGGAAAACAUGUUUAGUAUAAGACAGUUGUUUUGUCAGUGAAUGUUGUGAGUUGUAAUUGAGCCAGAUUUUGAACUUUUGUUUAAUGUUAUUACUAUUAAGCCAUGUUUCAUGUGUGUUUUGAA
Molecule: long non-coding RNA, 1315 nt
Organism: Epinephelus fuscoguttatus (brown-marbled grouper)
Lineage: Eukaryota; Metazoa; Chordata; Actinopteri; Perciformes; Serranidae
Exons: 3
Source: RefSeq, a predicted model, not a curated record